Molecule: ribosomal RNA, 253 nt
Filed under: uncultured bacterium
Lineage: Bacteria
Description: partial 16S ribosomal RNA
Rfam family: Bacterial small subunit ribosomal RNA
Source: RNAcentral
GACAGAGGGGGCAAGCGUUGCUCGGAAUCACUGGGCGUAAAGGGCGCGUAGGCGGGAUGGCAAGUCAGUCGUGAAAUCUCUCGGCUCAACCGAGAAACGUCGGCUGAUACUGCCGUUCUUGAGGGAUGCAGAGGAGACUGGAAUUCCCGGUGUAGCGGUGAAAUGUGUAGAGAUCGAGAGGAACACCUGCGGCGAAGGCGGGUUGCUGGGCUGAUACUGACGCUGAGGCGCGAAAGCCAGGGGAGCGAACGGG